Molecule: non-coding RNA, 399 nt
Organism: Pelobates cultripes (western spadefoot toad)
Lineage: Eukaryota; Metazoa; Chordata; Amphibia; Anura; Pelobatidae
Source: the annotation of a GenBank genome assembly
ACUGGAGAUAAUGGAAAUGCAACCAGAUCUGACUUUUCUGGCUAUCCUGGAGUGGGAGCUCGAGCAAGACUAUGCUCGCCUAUUUAACCGAGUAACACCGCCUGUCUCUGACAUGAUGGGGUUUAUUGACUGUACACCACCGGGAGUGUUGAGUUUCGUCCCUCCUCCCCAGCAACUAAGCCUGUCAUCAGGAGACCUGGGUAUUGUACCACCUACUUCCCAACCAGCCCCAGAAAUAAGAGACCUUACCGACUGGUCCUGGGAAGACCCCCAGUUGGCAGGUGGAGACGGGACCGAGGUCUCUCCACCGGCCCUACAGGGAUGCUGGGCAGCCAGCCCAGAUCUCCAACUCCAGAUGGAGGUUUUGCAGGAAGUGGAGACAACCGGUCUCACUCCCCA